CCCCGUGAACCUUUACUACAGCUUGGCACUGAACAUUGAACCUACAUGUGUAGGAUAGGUGGGAGACUUUGAAGCAGCGACGCUAGUUGUUGUGGAGUCGUCCUUGAAAUACCACCCUUGUAGUUUUGAUGUUCUAACGUUGGCCCCUGAAUCGGGGUUACGGACAGUGCCUGGUGGGUAGUUUGACUGGGGCGGUCUCCUCCCAAAGAGUAACGGAGGAGCACGAAGGUUGGCUAAGUACGGUCGGACAUCGUACGGUUAGUGUAAUGGUAGAAGCCAGCUUAACUGCGAGACAGACACGUCGAGCAGGUACGAAAGUAGGUCAUAGUGAUCCGGUGGUUCUGAAUGGAAGGGCCAUCGCUCAACGGAUAAAAGGUACUCCGGGGAUAACAGGCUGAUACCGCCCAAGAGUUCAUAUCGACGGCGGUGUUUGGCACCUCGAUGUCGGCUCAUCACAUCCUGGGGCUGAAGUCGGUCCCAAGGGUAUGGCUGUUCGCCAUUUAAAGUGGUACGCGAGCUGGGUUUAGAACGUCGUGAGACAGUUCGGUCCCUAUCUGCCGUGGGCGUUUGAGAAUUGAGAGGGGUUGCUCCUAGUACGAGAGGACCGGAGUGAACGAACCGCUGGUGUUCGGGUUGUCAUGCCAAUGGCAUUGCCCGGUAGCUACGUUCGGAACUGAUAAGCGCUGAAAGCAUCUAAGCGCGAAGCAGGCCUCGAGAUGAUUUCUCACUAGACUUUUAAAGUCUCUGAAGGGCCGUUGAAGACUACAACGUUGAUAGGCAAGAUGUGGAAGUGGUGUGAGCCAUUAAGCUAACUUGUACUAAUUACCCGUGAGGCUUAACCAUACAACGCCAAACGCGUUUUG
Molecule: ribosomal RNA, 863 nt
Rfam family: Bacterial large subunit ribosomal RNA